RNAcentral lists this ribosomal RNA (497 nucleotides) under uncultured bacterium. RNAcentral describes it as "partial 16S ribosomal RNA". It matches the Rfam family "Bacterial small subunit ribosomal RNA", at positions 28 to 507 of the family's 1533-position model. The record is from RNAcentral.
GAUGAACGCUGGCGGCGUGCCUAAUACAUGCAAGUCGAGCGAACGGACGAGAAGCUUGCUUCUCUGAUGUUAGCGGCGGACGGGUGAGUAACACGUGGAUAACCUACCUAUAAGACUGGGAUAACUUCGGGAAACCGGAGCUAAUACCGGAUGAUAUUUUGAACCGCAUGGUUCAAAAGUGAAAGACGGUCUUGCUGUCACUUAUAGAUGGAUCCACGCUGCAUUAGCUAGUUGGUAAUGUAACGGCUUACCAAGGCAACGAUGCAUAGCCGACCUGAGAGGGUGAUCAGCCACACUGGAACUGAGACACGGUCCAGACUCCUACGGGAGGCAGCAGUAGGGAAUCUUCCGCAAUGGGCGAAAGCCUGACGGAGCAACGCCGCGUGAGUGAUGAAGGUCUUCGGAUCGUAAAACUCUGUUAUUAGGGAAGAACAUAUGUGUAAGUAACUGUGCACAUCUUGACGUUACCUAAUCAGAAAGCCACGGCUAACUACGUG